RNAcentral lists this long non-coding RNA (4570 nucleotides) under Homo sapiens (human). Its description in RNAcentral is "HSALNT0246696". Lineage: Eukaryota; Metazoa; Chordata; Mammalia; Primates; Hominidae. The record is from RNAcentral.
AAGUCAUAAAGCCUCCUGUAGGCAGAGCGUAGACAAGAGUUCCCUCCCCAGGGUGAUCAGUGCAGAGAUGUGUCACAAAGCCCCUGUAGGCAGAGCGUAGACAAGAGUUCCCUCCCCAGGGUGAUCAGUGCAGAGAUGUGUCACAAAGCCCCUGUAGGCAGAGCCUAGACAAGAGUUUCAUCACUUGGUUGAUCAGUUCAGAGAUGUGUCACAAUGUCCAUGUAGGCAGAUCUAAGACAAGGGUCCAUCACCUGGGUGAUCAGUGCAGAGAUAUGUACCAAUGUGCCCUGUAGGCAGUGCCUAGACAAGAGUUGAAUCACCUCAGAGAUCAGUGCAUAGAUAUGUCACAAAGCCUUCUGUAGGCAAAGCCCAUACAAGGUUUACAUCACCUAGGUGAUCAGUGCAGUGAUAUGUCACAAAAAUCCCUGUAGACAGAGCCUAGACAAGAGUUACAUCACCUGGGUGAUCAGUGCAGAUAUUUGACACAAUGCCCCCAUAGACAGAGCCUAGACAAGACUUCCAUCACCUGGGUGAUCAGUGCAGAGAUAUGUCACAAAUCCCCCUCUAGGCAGAGUAUAGAGAAGAGUCCCAUCACCUGGUUGAUCAGUGCAGAGAUAUUUCACAAUACCUCCUGUAGGCAGAUCCUAGUCAAGAGUUGCAUCACCUGGGUGAUCAGUGCAGAGAUAUUUCACAACGCCCCCUGUAGGCAGAGGGUAGACAAGAGUUACAUCACCUAGGUGAUCAGUGCAGAGAUUUGUCGAAAUUCCCUGUAGGCAGUGCUUAUAAAAGUGUUACAUCACCUAAGUGAUCAGUGCAGAGAUAUGUCACAAAGCUCCUGUAGGCAGAGCUUAGAUGAGUUACAUCACCUGGGUGAUCAGAGCAAAGGUAUGUCACAAAGCCCCCUGUAGGCCAAAGCCUAGACAAUAGUUACAUCACUUGGGUGAUCAGUGGCGAGAUCUCUCACAAUUCCCCUGUAGGCAGAGCUUAUACAACAGUUACAUCACCUGGGUGAUCAGUGCAGAUAUAUGUCACAAUGCCCCCAUAGGCAGAUCCAAGACAAGAGUCCGUCUCCUGGGUGAUCAGUGCAGAAAUACGUCACAAUGCCCCCUUAGGCAGAGCCUAGACAAAAGCCCCAUCACCUGGAUGAUUAGUGCAGAGUUAUGUCACAAAGUCCCUUUAGGCAGAUCCUAGACAAGAGUCCCAUUACUUGGGUGAUCAGUGCAGAGAUAUGUCACAAUGCCACUGUAGGCAGAGCCUAGACAAGAGUUACAUGACCUAGGUGAUCAGUGCAGAGAUACAUCGCAAUGCCCCUGUAGGCAGAGCCUUGACAAGUGGUACAUCACCUGGGUGAUCAUUGCAGGGAUAUGUCACAAAGCACCCUGUAGGCAGAUCCUAGAGAAGAGUUAUAUCACCUGGGUGAUCAGUGCAGAGAUAUGUCACAAGCCCCCUGUAGGCAGAGCCUAGACAAGAGUUAUAUCACCUGGGUGAUCAGUGCAGUCAUAUGUCACAAUGCUGUGUAGCCAGAGCCUAGACAAAAGUUACAGCACCUGGGAGAUCAGUGCAGAGAUAUGUCACAAUGUCCCCAGUAGGCAGAGACCAGGCAAGAGUUGGAUCACCUCGGGAUCAGUGCAGAGAUAUGUCUCAAUCCCCCUGUGGGCACAGCCUAGACAAGAGUUACAUCACCUCGGUUAACAGUGCAGAGAUAUGUCAAAAUGCCCCUGUAGGCAGAGCCUACACAAGUAUUACAUCACUUAGGUGAUCAGUGCAGAGAUAUGUCACAAUACCCCCUGUAAGCAGAGCCUAGACAAGAGUUACAUCACCUGGGUGAUCAGUGCAGACAUAUGUGACAAGGCCCCUUUAAGCAGAGCCUAGACAAUAGUUACAUCACCUGAGUGAUCAGUGCAGAGAUCUGUCACAAUGCCCCUUUAGGCAGAGCUUAGACCAGAGUUACAUCACCUGGGUGAUCAGUGCAGAGGUAUGUCACAUUGCCCCCAUAGGCAAAUCCAAGACAAGAGUCAGUCACCUGGGUGAUCACUGCAGAAAUAUGUGACAAUGCCCCCAGUAGGCAGAACCUAGAGAAGAGUCCCUUCACCUGGGUGAUCAGUGCAGAGUUAUGCCACAAUGCCCCCUGUAGGCAGAGCCUAGACAAGAGUUACAUCAUCUGGUUGAUCAGUAAAGAGAUAUUUCUCAAUGCCCCUGCAGGCAGAGCGUAAGCAAGAGUUACAUCACCUAGAUGAUCAGUGCAGAGAUACGUCACAAGGCCCCCUAUAGGCAGAGCCUGGACAAGAGUUACAUCACCUCGGUGAUCAAUGCAGUGAUAUGUCACUGUGCCCCGUAGGCAGAGCCUAGUCAAGCGUUACAUCACCUGGGUGAUCAGUGCAGAGAUAUGUCAGAAAGCCCCCAUACACAGAGCCUAGACAAGAGUCCCAUCACCUGGGUGAUCAGUGCAGAAAUAUGUCACAAUGCCCCUAUAGGCAGAUCCAACACAAGUGUUACAUCACCUGGGUGAUCAGUGCAGAAAUAUGUCUCAAUGCCCCCAUAGGCAGAUCCAACACAAGAGUUACAUCACCUGGGUGAUCAGUGUAGAGAUAUGUCACAAUGCCCCCGUAGACAGAGCCUAGACAAAAGUCCCAUCACCUGGGUGAUCAGUGCAGAGAUAUGUCACAAAGCCCCUGUAGGCAGAGCCUAGACAAGAGUUACAUCACUUUGUUGAUCAGUUCAGAGAUGUGUCACAAUGCCCAUGUAGGCAGAGCCUAGACAAGUGUUCCAUCACCUGGGUGAUCAGUGCAGAGAUAUGUGACAAGGCCCCUUUAAGCAGAGCCUAGACAAUAGUUACAUCACCUGAGUGAUCAAUGCAGUGAUAUGUCACUAUGCCCCAGUAGGCAGAGCCUAGUCAAGCGUUACAUCACCUGAGUGAUCAGUGCAGAGAUAUGUCACAAAGCCCCCAUACACAGAGCCUAGACAACAGUCCCAUCCCCUGGGUGAUCAGUGCAGAAAUAUGUCACAAUGCCCCCAUAGGCAGAUCCAACACAAGAGUUACAUCACCUGGGUGAUCAGUGUAGAGAUAUGUCACAAUGCCCCCAUAGGCAGAGCGUAGACAAAAGUCCCAUCACCAGGGUGAUCAGUGCAGAGAUAUGUCACAAAGCCCCCAUAGGCAGAGCCUAGACAAGAGUUACAUCACUUGGUUGAUCAGUUCAGAGAUGUGUCACAAUGCCCAUGUAGGCAGAGCCUACACAAGUGUUACAUCACUUAGGUGAUCAGUGCAGAGCUAUGUCACAAUACCCCCGUAAGCAGAGCCUAGACAAGAGUUACAUCACCUGGUUGAUCAGUGCAGAGAUAUCUCACAAUGUCCCUGCAGGCAGAGUGUAGACAAGAGUUACAUCACCUAGAUGAUCAGUGCAGAGAUAUUUCACAAUGCCCCCUGUAGGCAGAGCCUAGACAAGAAUUAUAUUACCUGGAUGAUCAGUACGGUGAUAUGUCACUAUGCCCCCUGUGGGCGGAGCCUAGACAAGAGUUACAUCACCUGGGUGAUAAGGGCAGAGAUAUGUCACAAUGCUCCAGUAGGCAGAGCCUAGACAAGAGUCCUAUCACCUGGGUGAUCAGUGCAGAAAUAUGUCACAAUGCCCCCAGUAGACAGAGCCUAGACAAGAGUUACAUCACCUGGGUGAUCAGUGCAGAAAUAUGUUGCAAUGCCCCCAUAGGCAGAUCCAACACAAGAGUUACAUCACCUGGGUGAUCAGUGCAGAGAUAUGUAACAAUGCCCCCAGUAGGCAGAGCCUAGAGGAGAGUUACAUCAUCUGGGUGAUCUUUGCAGAGAUAUGUCACAAUCCUCCAAGUAAGCAGAGCCUAGACAAAAGUUACAUCAUCUGGGCGAUCAGUGCAGAGACAAGUCACAAAACCCACAUAGGAAAAGACUAGACAAGAGUUACAUCAUCUGGGUCAUCAGUGCAGACAUAUGUCAAAGCUGCCGUAGGCAGAGUGUAGACAAGUAUUACAUCACUUGGGUGAUCAGUGCAGAGAUCUAUCACAGUGCCCCCAUAGGCAGAGCCUAGACAAGAGUUCCAUCACCUGUGUGAUCAGUGUAGAGAUAUGUCACAAUGCCUCCUGUAGGCAGAGGCUAGACAAGAGUUACAUCACCUGGAUUUUGUUUCCUGCAAUAUGUCACAAUGGCGAGGGUGAGGGUUAGGGUUAGGGUGAGGGUCAGGGUGAGGGUCAGGGUGAGGGUCAGGGUGAGGGUGAGGGUCAGGGUGAGGGUGAGGGUUAGGGUUAGGGUGAGCAUUAGGUUUAGGGUUAGGGUUAGGGUUAGGGGUUAGGCUUAGGCUUAGGGUAAGGCUUAGGGUUCAGGUUCAAGUUUGGAUUCGGGUUCGGGUUCAGGUUAAGAGUUAGGGUUAGGGUUACGGGUUAGGGUUAGGGGUUAGGGUUAGGUGUUAGGGCUGGGUUAGGUUUAGGGUUAGGGUUAUGGGUUACGGUUAGGGUUAGGGUUUAGGGUUAGGGUUAGGGUUAGGAUUGGGGUUAGGUUUAGGGUUAGGGUUAGGGUUAGGUUUAGGGUUGGGUUAGGGUUAGGAUUGGG